GCUAAUGGCCUUAGAGGCAUAGGUUGCGGGAAAAUGUUAGUGAAUAUUGGGUUUUGUCGUUUUCUUCCAGCAACGAUUUAGCAGCGCUGUCAAUCAUGGAUGCUCGGCGAGUUCCUUCUAUAUAAUACAGCCCUGACACUUCUAGAAUCGUCUGACAGAUGUCGUUUCUAAGGAACAUUUCCCUGCUCCUCCAACAUUGUGUACAUGAUCCGUGGUUGUCUCUGCAUGGGUGGGUGCGAUUCUCUCGGCGACGGCGACAUACCGGCCGAGAAGGGCUUCGAUUACACGGGUUGCUUUAUUUUUUUAGUUUUUUCUCUUCUUUGGUGUUACUUUUUUGGUUUGUUUUUGUUCUGUUCUGGGGAGCCGGGACUGUUUAGGGGCAAUGGUUCGGCCGGAGUUUCUGAAAUAGUCCUAACUCAGCUCUCCUUUCUUUUAUUUUCUCUUAGACGAGUACUCUUUUUCCUCUUAUUGAGGUUUUAAUGAGGCUCGGCCCUUAGUCUGCUUUUCUGUGCUGUCAAGGGUUUAGGUUCUUCUUUCUUUUUUCGUUUUCUAUAAAAAUUUUAUUUUAAUAAUA
Long non-coding RNA from Salvia miltiorrhiza (redroot sage), 574 nucleotides. RefSeq lists it as uncharacterized. The transcript has 2 exons. NCBI's taxonomy places the organism in Eukaryota, Viridiplantae, Streptophyta, Magnoliopsida, Lamiales, Lamiaceae. The record is from RefSeq and is a predicted model, not a curated record.